UUUCCGUAGGUGAACCUGCGGAAGGAUCAUUACAACGCUAAAAACAAAAACAAACCAACCUAUAACUGUGAAAAUCUAUCACUAAACAAGCCUGGGUCAAUCGUCGCUGCAUGGAGAGCUCAUAGUGGGGUGGUCAGUAGAGAUUUUUCUCUUCUGGCUCUUCCGUCCAAUCCUGGGUGGAGGGAGUUUCUGUGUGCCUGGCUUGGUUGCCUCGCAGAUCAUCUACGAGAGCAGCCAGACGAAUGAUGCCGAGAUUUCUUUCCUUGGAACAAUUCCCAUUGUUUGUUCCAAGCAGUUCCCCUUCAACCCCUUUCUUUUUUUUAAACGCGUCAACAAAGCAACCAAAAAAAACAACAACAACAUAUUAACAGCUUUAGCUGUGCUCUCGGGCUCAGUGAUUUGCUGUACUAAUCAAAAAAUCCAAGAGGAAAAACAAGAACUGGGAGCUCGUCUCUCGCAUUCUGUUUUUUCCUUUGAAAUCUGUAAUGUAAAAGAACAACUCUUAGCAAUGGAUAUCUUGGUUCUC
RNAcentral lists this unclassified non-coding RNA (526 nucleotides) under plant metagenome. RNAcentral describes it as "partial contains small subunit ribosomal RNA, internal transcribed spacer 1, and 5.8S ribosomal RNA". The record is from RNAcentral.